Molecule: ribosomal RNA, 303 nt
Filed under: Triticum aestivum (bread wheat)
Lineage: Eukaryota; Viridiplantae; Streptophyta; Magnoliopsida; Poales; Poaceae
Description: partial small subunit ribosomal RNA
Source: RNAcentral
AUGGAGCACCUGCUGGACGAGCGGAGGUUGAGGGGUGGAGCCAACUCCGUUGCACGGCAGCCGGUCGGCGCAGCCACGUGGUUGAGGGAGAGGACAGCGCCUGAGGUGGAGAAGGAGGAGGCGUGCGCCUCGCCAAAUACGGCCGCGGUGGCUGCCGCAUCCGCUCUCGCCGGAGUUGGAGAAGGCGGAGGCGUCCGCCGCCCUACGCCGGAGAUGGAGAAGACGGAGGCGACCGCCGCCCUCCGCCGGAGAUGGAGAAGGGGUGGAGACAAGGGGCGAGCGGACAGGGUACGAAUGGAUUAA